Molecule: ribosomal RNA, 1392 nt
Filed under: uncultured bacterium
Lineage: Bacteria
Description: 16S ribosomal RNA
Rfam family: Bacterial small subunit ribosomal RNA
Source: RNAcentral
AGAGUUUGAUCCUGGCUCAGGAUGAACGCUGGCGGCGUGCUUAACACAUGCAAGUCGAACGAAGCACUUAAGACAGAUCUUUUCGGAGUGAAGACUUUUGUGACUGAGUGGCGGACGGGUGAGUAACGCGUGGGUAACCUGCCUCAUAGAGGGGGACAACAGUUGGAAACGACUGCUAAUACCGCAUAGUAAGGAGAAUUCGCAUGUUUUCUUCUUGAAAGCUUUUGCGCUAUGAGAUGGACCCGCGUCUGAUUAGCUAGUUGGUAAGGUAACGGCUUACCAAGGCGACGAUCAGUAGCCGGCUUGAGAGAGUGAACGGCCACAUUGGGACUGAGACACGGCCCAGACUCCUACGGGAGGCAGCAGUGGGGAAUAUUGCACAAUGGGGGAAACCCUGAUGCAGCGACGCCGCGUGAGUGAAGAAGUAUUUCGGUAUGUAAAGCUCUAUCAGCAGGGAAGAUAAUGACGGUACCUGACUAAGAAGCCCCGGCUAACUACGUGCCAGCAGCCGCGGUAAUACGUAGGGGGCAAGCGUUAUCCGGAUUUACUGGGUGUAAAGGGAGCGCAGACGGCGAUGCAAGUCUGGAGUGAAAGCCCGGGGCUCAACCCCGGGACUGCUUUGGAAACUGUAUGGCUAGAGUGCUGGAGAGGCAAGCGGAAUUCCUAGUGUAGCGGUGAAAUGCGUAGAUACUAGGAGGAACACCAGUGGCGAAGGCGGAUUGCUGGACGAUAACUGACGGUGAGGCGCGAAAGUGUGGGGAGCAAACAGGAUUAGAUACCCUGGUAGUCCACACUGUAAACGAUGAAUACUAGGUGUUGGGUUCCAAAGGAACUCGGUGCCGUCGCAAACGCAUUAAGUAUUCCACCUGGGGAGUACGUUCGCAAGAAUGAAACUCAAAGGAAUUGACGGGGACCCGCACAAGCGGUGGAGCGUGUGGUUUAAUUCGAAGCAACGCGAAAAACCUUACCAAGUCUUGACAUCCUGAUGACGGUUCCUUAACCGGAACUUUUCUUCGGAACAUCAGAGACAGGUGGUGCAUAGUUGUCGUCAGCUCGUGUCGUGAGAUGUUGGGUUAAGUCCCGCAACGAGCGCAACCCUUAUCUUUAGUAGCCAGCGGUCAGGCCGGGCACUCUAGAGAGACUGCCAGGGAUAACCUGGAGGAAGGCGGGGAUGACGUCAAAUCAUCAUGCCCCUUAUGACUUGGGCUACACACGUGCUACAAUGGCGUAAACAAAGGGAAGCAAAGCUGUGAAGCCGAGCAAAUCUCAAAAAUAACGUCUCAGUUCGGACUGUAGUCUGCAACCCGACUACACGAAGCUGGAAUCGCUAGUAAUCGCAGAUCAGAAUGCUGCGGUGAAUACGUUCCCGGGUCUUGUACUCACCGCCCGUCA